AUUGAACGCUGGCGGCAGGCCUAACACAUGCAAGUCGAGCGGAUGAAGGGAGCUUGCUCCUGGAUUCAGCGGCGGACGGGUGAGUAAUGCCUAGGAAUCUGCCUGGUAGUGGGGGAUAACGUCCGGAAACGGGCACUAAUACCGCAUACGUCCUGAGGGAGAAAGUGGGGGAUCUUCGGACCUCACGCUAUCAGAUGAGCCUAGGUCGGAUUAGCUAGUUGGUGGGGUAAAGGCCUACCAAGGCGACGAUCCGUAACUGGUCUGAGAGGAUGAUCAGUCACACUGGAACUGAGACACGGUCCAGACUCCUACGGGAGGCAGCAGUGGGGAAUAUUGGACAAUGGGCGAAAGCCUGAUCCAGCCAUGCCGCGUGUGUGAAGAAGGUCUUCGGAUUGUAAAGCACUUUAAGUUGGGAGGAAGGGCAGUAAGUUAAUACCUUGCUGUUUUGACGUUACCAACAGAAUAAGCACCGGCUAACUUCG
RNAcentral lists this ribosomal RNA (482 nucleotides) under uncultured bacterium. Its description in RNAcentral is "partial 16S ribosomal RNA". It matches the Rfam family "Bacterial small subunit ribosomal RNA", at positions 30 to 505 of the family's 1533-position model. The record is from RNAcentral.